GGCUCAGGAUGAACGCUAGCGGCAGGCUUAAUACAUGCAAGUCGUGGGGCAGCAUGAGUAGCAAUACUUGAUGGCGACCGGCAAACGGGUGAGGAACACGUACACAACCUUCCUUCAAGCGGGGAAUAGCCCAGAGAAAUUUGGAUUAAUACCCCAUAAUAUAUUUGAUAAGGCAUCUUAUUAAUAUUAAAGCUUCGGCACUUGAUGAUGGGUGUGCGGCUGAUUAGAUAGUUGGCGGGUAACGGCCCACCAAGUCUACGAUCAGUAGCUGAUGUGAGAGCAUGAUCAGCCACACGGGCACUGAGACACGGGCCCGACUCCUACGGGAGGCAGCAGUAAGGAAUAUUGGACAAUGGACGAAAGUCUGAUCCAGCCAUGCCGCGUGAAGGAUUAAGGUCCUCUGGAUUGUAAACUUCUUUUAUAUGGGACGAAAAAAGGGCAUUCUUGUUCACUUGACGGUACCAUAUGAAUAAGCACCGGCUAACUCCGUG
This 491-nucleotide ribosomal RNA is filed under the name uncultured bacterium. Its description in RNAcentral is "bacterial SSU rRNA". It matches the Rfam family "Bacterial small subunit ribosomal RNA", at positions 21 to 507 of the family's 1533-position model. The record is from RNAcentral.